UAUAUAUAGAGAGAGAGAGAGAGAGCUGGAAUGCUAUCGGUAGCAAAUGGGUUCCGUUGCUAUUUAUUUGUUUUCAAUGAUGGAGCCUCAAAAUCGACGAUCGGUACUCUUGAAUAUGAUAUAUAUCACUUGAAGUAUAUCUGAAAAUCAAAUUUCAAAUCUUUUCAAUAUCAUUAGCCUAAUGAUCAAAGAAUUUCAAAAUUUGUAAUUUUAAUGGUCGAUAUAAGAGUUUUUUCGUUUAACGGCGUAAAGAUAUUCAAAUCAAUUGAAUUUUCGUUAGAAAAUUCUUUAAACUAUUUAGAAGAAAAUUUAUACUCUUGAUCUUGAUUACAGAACUCCUAUCAUCACUUUUUAAAAAGAUAUUCAUUUUCAGCCAUUCAUUUUCAUAUUCACUUAAUGGACAAGAGAACAAUAUCGAAAAAAUGUAAAAUUUGGUUUCUAAAUACUUCAAUUGGUAUAGAUUAUAUUCAACGUUAUCGAUCGUUGAUUUAUAGGCUCCAUCAUCACAAACAAAUGGAUAGUAAUGAAAUCCGUUUGCUACUGAUAGUAUUCCAGCUCAACACUCUCUCUCUCUCUAGAUCUCUAGAUCUCUAUGUAUAUAACACCCUACCCACAUA
This 617-nucleotide long non-coding RNA is filed under the name Ananas comosus (pineapple). RNAcentral describes it as "long non-coding RNA (ACOM_LNC002854)". The record is from RNAcentral. Lineage: Eukaryota; Viridiplantae; Streptophyta; Magnoliopsida; Poales; Bromeliaceae.